CCUACGGGGGGCAGCAGUGAGGAAUAUUGGUCAAUGGACGCAAGUCUGAACCAGCCAUGCCGCGUGCAGGAAGACGGCUCUAUGAGUUGUAAACUGCUUUUGUACGAGGGUAAACGCAGAUACGCGUAUCUUUCUGAAAGUAUCGUACGAAUAAGGAUCGGCUAACUCCGUGCCAGCAGCCGCGGUAAUACGGAGGAUUCAAGCGUUAUCCGGAUUUAUUGGGUUUAAAGGGUGCGUAGGCGGUCGGAUAAGUUAGAGGUGAAAUCCCGAGGCUCAACUUCGGAAUUGCCUUUGAUACUGGUCGGCUAGAGAGUAGUUGAGGUAGGCGGAAUGUAUGGUGUAGCGGUGAAAUGCUUAGAGAUCAUACAGAACACCGAUUGCGAAGGCAGCAUACCAGGCUACUACUGACGUUGAGGCACGAAAGCGUGGGGAGCAAACAGGAUUAGAUACCCCGGUAGUC
This 460-nucleotide ribosomal RNA is filed under the name uncultured bacterium. RNAcentral's name for it is "partial 16S ribosomal RNA". It matches the Rfam family "Bacterial small subunit ribosomal RNA", at positions 338 to 795 of the family's 1533-position model. The record is from RNAcentral.